ACAGAGGGUUCGAUUAUGGCUCAGAUUGAACGCUGGCGGGAUGCUUUACACAUGCAAGUCGAACGGCAGCACGGACUUCGGUCUGGUGGCGAGUGGCGAACGGGUGAGUAAUGUAUCGAACGUGCCUAGUAGCGGGGGAUAACUACGCGAAAGCGUAGCUAAUACCGUAUACGCCCUUCGGAAAGUGGGGACUUUUCGGGCCUCGCACUAUUAGAGCGGCCGAUAUCGAUUAGCGAAGCAGGGUAACGGCUCACCAAGGCGACGAUCCGUAGCUGGUUUGAGAGACGACCAGCCACACUGGGACUGAGACAUGGCCCAGACUAGCCAGAGGCAGCAGUGGGGAAUUUUGGACAAUGGGGGAAACCCUGAUCCAGCCAUCCCGGGCGUGUGCGAUGAAGGCCUUCGGGUUGUAAAGCACUUUUGGCAGGAAAGAAACGGCACGGAUAAUACCCCGUGCAACUGACGGUACCCGGGUAUAGCACCGCUAACCAUGCCAGCAGCUGCGGUAAUACGUAGGGUGCAAGCGUUAAUCGGAAUUACUGGGCGCAAGCGUGCGCAGGCGGUUCGGCAAGAAGAUGUGAAAUCAGAGCUUAACUUUGGAACUGCAUUUUUAACUACCGAGCUAGAGUGUGUCAGUGAGGGAGGUGGAAUUCCGCGUGUAGCAGGAAUGCGUAGAUAUGCGGAGGAACACCGAUGGCGAAGGCAGCCUCCUGGGAUAACACCGACGCUCUGCGUAUCGAAAGGUGGGGAGCAAACAGGAUUAGAUACCGGCAGGUCUACGCCCUGAAACAUGUCAACUAGCCGUUGGGGCCUUCGCCUCGGUAGCGCAGCUAACGCGUGAAGUUGACCGCCUGGGGAGUACGGUCGCAAGAUUAAACCCAAAGGAAUUGACGGGGACCCGCACAAGCGGUGGAUGAUGUGGAUUAAUUCGAUGCAACGCGAAAACCUUACCUACCCUUGACAUGUCUGGAAUCCCGAAGAGAUUUGGGAGUGCUCGCAAGAGAACCGGAACAUUGUGCUGCAUGGCUGUCGUCAGCUCGUGUCGUGAGAUGUUGGGUUAAGUCCUGCACGAGCGCAACCCUUGUCACAGGUUGCUACGAAAGGUACUGAUUGACUGCCGGUGACAAACCGGAGGAAGGUGGGGAUGACGUCAAGUCCUCAUGGUCUGUGGCAGGGGGCUUCACACGUCAGCGCGCUGGUCGGGACAGAGGGUCGCCAACCCGCGAGGGGGGAGCCAAUCCCAGAAACCCGAUCGUAGUCCGGAUCGCAGUCUGCAACUCGACUGCGUGAAGUCGGAAUCGCUAGUAAUCGCGGAUCAGCAUGUCGCGGUGAAUACGUUCCCGGGUCUUGUACACACCGCCCGUCACACCAUGGGAGUGGGUUUUACCAGAAGUGAAGAAAUUAACCAAGAGGUGGCGAUUACCACGGUAGGAUUCUAUGACUGGGGUGAAGUCGUAACAAGGUAG
RNAcentral lists this ribosomal RNA (1466 nucleotides) under uncultured Bordetella sp. RNAcentral's name for it is "partial 16S-23S ribosomal RNA intergenic spacer". It matches the Rfam family "Bacterial small subunit ribosomal RNA". Lineage: Bacteria; Pseudomonadati; Pseudomonadota; Betaproteobacteria; Burkholderiales; Alcaligenaceae. The record is from RNAcentral.